AUGGGGGUCAGGUGGUGUGUACCCAGCCAACAGGAUAUGUUCAGCAUUUGGCAGGGUGAUGAGAGAUUAACACCCCAAGACAGAAUGAAAACCCGAGCUCUCAAGACUCUUCUCUUACGAAAAUGGAAAUGUUGGACUAUGGUUGGGAUCUUUGGAACAGAGGUCUGUGAUGUCUCCAAAAGACACAGAACCAAUUGCCUUCAAACAGCUAAGAUUCCAUCAGAACCUGGAGUGACAGAUCCCUUGGAUCUUCAAAGUCCUGGGCCUCUGAGUCAGUUAAGGGAGAUCUCUUGUUCUUUUUUAUAUAAUCCCAAUCAUGAGAUCUCUAAAGUCAACUGACUAAUAAAAAACUGUGCCUUCAUCA
RNAcentral lists this long non-coding RNA (364 nucleotides) under Felis catus (domestic cat). RNAcentral describes it as "lncRNA (ENSFCAG00000045468.2)". The record is from RNAcentral. Lineage: Eukaryota; Metazoa; Chordata; Mammalia; Carnivora; Felidae.